This 155-nucleotide ribosomal RNA is filed under the name uncultured bacterium. RNAcentral describes it as "partial 16S ribosomal RNA". It matches the Rfam family "Bacterial small subunit ribosomal RNA", at positions 355 to 507 of the family's 1533-position model. The record is from RNAcentral.
UGAGGAAUAUUGGUCAAUGGUCGCAAGACUGAACCAGCCAUGCCGCGUGCAGGAAGACGGUCCUAUGGAUUGUAAACUGCUUUUAUACAGGAAGAAACCCUCCCACGUGUGGGAGCUUGACGGUACUGUAGGAAUAAGGAUCGGCUAACUCCGUG